AGAUAUUAGUUAUCAUAUAACUUAGAGAAAUGUGAAUAGUGAUAUAAACUCAGCUGAUUAAAUGAGAAAGACGUCAUGGAAUGGACCAAUGAAUAUGUAGAGAAUAUAGUAGUUAUCUGUGGAAUCAAAAGGUGUAUUUGGAGGCCUUAAUACAAAAAUAUCUUUUGAAAUUCAAUGAGUUUGUACUACAAUUCAACGGAAUAUAAUAUUUACAGAAGGAAAAUGCAUAAAUUUUAAUAAAAUCUAGAAUUACCUUUGUCAUUUAUGCCAUUUCCAUGAAUCAAUGGACAAUGGUUCCAGCUGCUAAUAUUUACAUGUAUUUUAUAAUAAACCAUGUUUUAAAAACUGACCCAACUAUCAAACAAAGAAGGGACGGGAUUCAAAGGCUGGAGGUUCAUUUGGGGUUGAACUGGGGAUAAAUGUUAUUAUAAUUUUAUAUGUAUUAUAAAUAGCAAAGCAUUUAAGUUGAUACAUAAAUAACAAAAGAAAAGGUUGAAUAUAA
Molecule: unclassified non-coding RNA, 502 nt
Filed under: Hevea brasiliensis (rubber tree)
Lineage: Eukaryota; Viridiplantae; Streptophyta; Magnoliopsida; Malpighiales; Euphorbiaceae
Source: RNAcentral